AGGAGCGUAGUUUAAAAAACAUCAAGUUUGCAUCUUGAAGAUGGCCAUGCCCGUUCUCA
RNAcentral lists this transfer RNA (59 nucleotides) under Streptocephalus sirindhornae. RNAcentral's name for it is "tRNA-Ala". Lineage: Eukaryota; Metazoa; Arthropoda; Branchiopoda; Anostraca; Streptocephalidae. The record is from RNAcentral.